AGGUUUGGCACCUCGAUGUCGGCUCAUCGCAUCCUGGGGCUGUAGUCGGUCCCAAGGGUUGGGCUGUUCGCCCAUUAAAGCGGUACGCGAGCUGGGUUCAGAACGUCGUGAGACAGUUCGGUCCCUAUCCGUCGUGGGCGUAGGAAAUUUGAGAGGAGCUGUCCUUAGUACGAGAGGACCGGGAUGGACAUACCUCUGGUGUACCAGUUGUCGUGCCAACGGCAUAGCUGGGUAGCUAUGUGUGGACGGGAUAAGUGCUGAAAGCAUCUAAGCAUGAAGCCCCCCUCAAGAUGAGAUUUCCCAACUUCGGUUAUAAGAUCCCUCAAAGAUGAUGAGGUUAAUAGGUUCGAGGUGGAAGCAUGGUGACAUGUGGAGCUGACGAAUACUAA
Molecule: ribosomal RNA, 389 nt
Filed under: Staphylococcus aureus
Lineage: Bacteria; Bacillati; Bacillota; Bacilli; Caryophanales; Staphylococcaceae
Description: partial 23S ribosomal RNA
Rfam family: Bacterial large subunit ribosomal RNA
Source: RNAcentral